CGGUCAGUAUGGUUUUGCAUCGACUGUGCGAGAGUCAAGUGAAACAUGAGAAGCUCCGGCUUUUGGAUUUUUCUGCAAGGAGAAUCCUCCCUCUCCAUUGGAUAUCCAGAAAUACAUUUGUCGCAGAAAGUUAGCAUCUAGGACUAUUGAUCUGCGACUGCUGAUCACCAACUUGAAAGAUAAUAAAGGAUUUACGGACAGUACAAACGGAUUAGAAACAUGCAAAAACAUUAUUGAUGAAUUUAUCCCCAAGAAGAAUUCAAUUAAAUUAAAGCAUAGCCAAGACCAGCUGGCUAUCAAAGAGGACUUAGUAAAACAUCGAACCUCAGUGGCAGAGCUCCUGAGUGGAAAAUAUGAAGCCAGCAGUUACCCUUCGUCAACUCCACUGAUAUCCAUAGCAUAAGGUUGCACGGAACAGAGCCAUUCCAUGUGCCCUGCAAUUCCAGUGUUUCCGGAUCUGGCUAGACUGUCAUCCAGAGACCAGUCAACGGCAAUGAGAACUUCAAUCGCAAAACUUUAAUCGACUUCUAACUAGAGUGCGAAGACCUCCGGUAGAUCUUCUUCCUUGGACUGGAAAAAAUCCAUCUAAUGAACCUGUCCCAGCCUCACGUGCUGUACAUCCAACUCAAAGAUGUUCUCGAUUCCAUCAUUUCAAAUUAGAAAACGAAGAGAAAGGCUACAAACCUGAAAUCGGUGGGUAGUGCACAGGAAGUUUUCCACAGACCGGGAUAAUGGCACUCAUGAGACACGAAAGGACUCCGAACCCUAGUUUUAGUUGGUCCACUGGCAAUUAAAGUUCUCAUUGCCGUUGACUCGUCUCUGGAUGACAGUCCAACCAGAUCCGGAAACACUGGAAUUACAAGGCACAAGGAAUGGGUCUGUUCCGUGCAAUAAGGUUGCUAUGGCUAUAAGUGGAUUUGCUAAAUGGGAGAUAACUGGGUGCCUCCCAAAUGUCCAUCAGCUUUUGUUUAAGGAAAUUCACUUGAUCCCCUAGUUGCCUGAUGUUCUCUCAAGUNUUCUNUUCUCUGAUGUUCUCUCAAGUUUUCUUAUAAAUCAAAAUGUGAAAUAUACGAUUACUACACUUUG
RNAcentral lists this small RNA (1086 nucleotides) under Drosophila pseudoobscura pseudoobscura. RNAcentral describes it as "GA31821". The record is from RNAcentral. Lineage: Eukaryota; Metazoa; Arthropoda; Insecta; Diptera; Drosophilidae.